Molecule: long non-coding RNA, 761 nt
Organism: Oncorhynchus nerka (sockeye salmon)
Lineage: Eukaryota; Metazoa; Chordata; Actinopteri; Salmoniformes; Salmonidae
Exons: 2
Source: RefSeq, a predicted model, not a curated record
UAUAGGUCUGGUUAUUACUAUAGGUCUGGUUAUUACUAUAGGUCUGGUUAUUACUAUAGGUCUGGUUAUUACUACUAUAGGUCUGGUUAUUACUAUAGGUCUGGUUAUUACUAUAGGUCUGGUUAUUACUAUAGGUCUGGUUAUUACUACUAUAGGUCUGGUUAUUACUAUAGGUCUGGUUAUUACUACUAUAGGUCUGGUUAUUACUACUAUAGGUCUGGUUAUUACUAUAGGUCUGGUUAUUACUAUAGGUCUGGUUAUUACUAUAGGUCUGGUUAUUACUAUAGGUCUGGUUAUUACUAUAGGUCUGGUUAUUACUAUAGGUCUGGUUAUUACUACUAUAGGUCUGGUUAUUACUACUAUAGGUCUGGUUAUUACUAUAGGUCUGGUUAUUACUAUAGGUCUGGUUAUUACUAUAGGUCUGGGUUAUUACUAUAGGUCUGGUUAUUACUAUAGGUCUGGUUAUUACUACUAUAGGUCUGGUUAUUACUAUAGGUCUGGUUAUUACUAUAGGUCUGGUUAUUACUAUAGGUCUGGUUAUUACUAUAGGUCUGGUUAUUACAUUUUUUCUUUCAGUCACAUGUUUCCAUGAACAGAAACACAGUGGACUAGGUAGAUGAGGCCUUUGGGCUGGAUCAGGCUGCGUGAUUUUAUUCUUCUUUUCAGUGUUAAACACAUUGUUUUUUCUUUGUUUAUGGUCCCUCAGAAGAUUCAUGUGAGCAUUUUCCUACCGAUGGAAUAAAAUUCUGAAACUUUUUUUA